This 1425-nucleotide ribosomal RNA is filed under the name Escherichia coli. RNAcentral's name for it is "partial 23S ribosomal RNA". It matches the Rfam family "Bacterial large subunit ribosomal RNA", at positions 343 to 1766 of the family's 2925-position model. Lineage: Bacteria; Pseudomonadati; Pseudomonadota; Gammaproteobacteria; Enterobacterales; Enterobacteriaceae. The record is from RNAcentral.
UGGAAAGCUCAGCCGAAGAAGGUGAAAGCCCUGUAAUCGAAACCUUGCAUACACGGGACUGUAUCCAGAGUACCACGAGACACGUGAAACCUUGUGGGAAGCAGGGGGGACCACCCUCCAAGCCAAAAUACUGAUAUCGACCGAUAGCGCAUAGUACCGUGAGGGAAAGGUGAAAAGAACCCCUGGCGGGGAGUGAAAGAGAACCUGAAACCGUAUGUCUACAAACAGUCGAAGUCUGUAUAUAUAUCAGGACGACGGCGUGCCUAUUGAAGAAUGAACCGACGAGUUACUGUUGCUAGCGAGGUUAAGUGGAAAACAUGGAGCCGCAGCGAAAGCGAGUCUGAACAGGGCGUUCAGUUAGUAAUAGUAGACCCGAAACCGUAGUGAUCUAUCCAUGGCCAGGUUGAAGCACAGGUAAAAUUGUGUGGAGGACCGAACUCGUGAGCGUUGAAAAGCUUUGGGAUGAGUUGUGGAUAGGGGUGAAAUGCCAAUCGAACACGGAGAUAGCUGGUUCUCCCCGAAAUAGCUUUAGGGCUAGCCUCGAGGUUGAGAGUAUAGGCGGUAGAGCACUGAUCGGGCUAGGGGCCAUACCGGUUACCGAACCUAGUCAAACUACGAAUGGCUAUACUUAUACUCGGGAGUCAGACAGUGAAUGAUAAGGUCCAUUGUCAAGAGGGAAACAGCCCAGAACACCGACUAAGGUCCCAAAUGUUACACUAAGUGGCGAAGGAUGUGGAGUUUCCAAAACAACCAGGAUGUUGGCUUAGAAGCAGCCACCAUUUAAAGAGUGCGUAAUAGCUCACUGGUCGAGAGACUCUGCGCCGAAGAUGUCCGGGGCUAAAGUGUAAAACCGAAGUCGUGUCAUAUGCAGCAAUGUAUAUGGGUAGGGGAGCGUUCUCAUCGGGCUGAAGCAGUACCGUAAGGAGUUGUGGACUGAUGAGAAGUGAGAAUGUCGGUAUGAGUAGCGAAAAGAAUGGUGAGAAUCCAUUCCACCGAAAGCCUAAGGGUUCCUGAGCAACGAUCGUCGUCUCAGGGUAAGUCGGGACCUAAGCCGAGGCGGAAAAGCGUAGGCGAUGGACAACAGGUUGAAAUUCCUGUACCGGUGUGAAUCGUUUGAUCGAUGGAGUGACACAGUAAGGUAGGUCAGCACGCGAUUGGAAGUGCGUGUUUAAGCAGGUAGGUUGAGCUAUAGGCAAAUCCGUAGCUCUAAAAGCUGAGAUGUGAUGACGAGUUACUAGCGAUAGUAACGAAGUGAUUGAUCCUACACUGUCGAGAAAAGCUUCUAGGUAGAGACACAUCGCCCGUACCAAAACCGACACAGGUAGGCGGGGAGAGAAUCCUAAGGUGCGCGGGAAAACCCUCGUUAAGGAACUCGGCAAAAUGCCUCCGUAACUUCGGGAAAAGGAGGACUCAUGUAGUGUGAAG